RNAcentral lists this ribosomal RNA (483 nucleotides) under uncultured bacterium. RNAcentral's name for it is "partial 16S ribosomal RNA". It matches the Rfam family "Bacterial small subunit ribosomal RNA", at positions 29 to 507 of the family's 1533-position model. The record is from RNAcentral.
UUGAACGCUGGCGGCAUGCUUUACACCUGCAAGUCGAACGGCAGCGCGGGCUUCGGCCUGGCGGCGAGUGGCGAACGGGUGAGUAAUACAUCGGAACGUGCCCAGUAGUGGGGGAUAGCUCGGCGAAAGCCGGAUUAAUACCGCAUACGACCUGAGGGUGAAAGCGGGGGAUCUUCGGACCUCGCGCUAUUGGAGCGGCCGAUGGCAGAUUAGCUAGUUGGUGGGGUAAAGGCCUACCAAGGCGACGACCUGUAGCUGGUCUGAGAGGACGACCAGCCACACUGGGACUGAGACACGGCCCAGACUCCUACGGGAGGCAGCAGUGGGGAAUUUUGGACAAUGGGCGAAAGCCUGAUCCAGCAAUGCCGCGUGUGUGAUGAAGGCCUUCGGGUUGUAAAGCACUUUUGGCGGGAACGAAAAGGACUGUGCCAAUACCACGGUUCGAUGACGGUACCCGCAGAAUAAGCACCGGCUAACUACGUG